RNAcentral lists this ribosomal RNA (460 nucleotides) under uncultured bacterium. RNAcentral's name for it is "partial 16S ribosomal RNA". It matches the Rfam family "Bacterial small subunit ribosomal RNA", at positions 338 to 795 of the family's 1533-position model. The record is from RNAcentral.
CCUACGGGCGGCAGCAGUGAGGAAUAUUGGUCAAUGGACGCAAGUCUGAACCAGCCAUGCCGCGUGCAGGAAGACGGCUCUAUGAGUUGUAAACUGCUUUUGUACGAGAGUAAACGCAGAUACGCGUAUCUGUCUGAAAGUAUCUUACGAAUAAGGAUCGGCUAACUCCGUGCCAGCAGCCGCGGUAAUACGGAGGAUUCAAGCGUUAUCCGGAUUUAUUGGGUUUAAAGGGUGCGUAGGCGGUCGGAUAAGUUAGAGGUGAAAUCCCGCGGCUCAACUUCGGAAUUGCAUUUGAUACUGUCCGGCUAGAGUGUAGUUGAGGUAGGCGGAAUGUAUGGUGUAGCGGUGAAAUGCUUAGAGAUCAUACAGAACACCGAUUGCGAAGGCAGCUUACCAAGCUACUUCUGACGUUGAGGCACGAAAGCGUGGGGAGCAAACAGGAUUAGAUACCCGAGUAGUC